AAACUUCAACUGAUCAUUUUUCAGGUUAUGUUUAGCAUGAUUGUAAGAAUGAGAUUAGGUUAUGUUUUAUCAACAAACUGAACAGUCAGGUUAAGAUGUAACAAAGUACAGUAGAUACAAAAUUAUUCAUAACUUGGUAGGUUUAUUCUUAUAAAUAAGCCCUUCUUUAGCAGAAGACUUAUCAAACACAAAGACAUAAUAUUGAUGAAUUCGUUUAAAACAGAAAGUUGAAACGAUUAAUAGUAUGAUUAGGCUAUUCAUCACUGUACCAGAGAAUAACAGGCUGAUUGAGCUAUUGUUGAAACUUUCUGCUGGGUCUAUCUUGCUAGUUUAUGGCUGGUGAUCACCGUAUCAAUUAUCAGGCACGAAAAUAUGUCACAAAGACCGCAGGGACAGUUCAUCGUGUGUGUUGUUCCUCAUUCUGCAAAGACAGUAGUGAACAUGUUAUCCUAUAGUUUGACACCGUACACAUCGUUUUACCAUUACCAUAGGUUAUCCCACUUCCAUUGUAUAAUUUUGUACAUUACAAAACAUGUGUGCUUUCGUGAAUAAUAAUGCAUUUAUGUAGAUUAACAAUUCAUUGUUACUUUCGCAAUUUUUCAUGUUUUGAAAAAAAAAUUAAAAAGUAUUAUAUACGGUAC
RNAcentral lists this long non-coding RNA (641 nucleotides) under Nilaparvata lugens (brown planthopper). Its description in RNAcentral is "uncharacterized LOC120350503". The record is from RNAcentral. Lineage: Eukaryota; Metazoa; Arthropoda; Insecta; Hemiptera; Delphacidae.